This 706-nucleotide ribosomal RNA is filed under the name Ferrimonas balearica. RNAcentral's name for it is "bacterial SSU rRNA". It matches the Rfam family "Bacterial small subunit ribosomal RNA", at positions 755 to 1451 of the family's 1533-position model. The record is from RNAcentral. Lineage: Bacteria; Pseudomonadati; Pseudomonadota; Gammaproteobacteria; Alteromonadales; Ferrimonadaceae.
AAAGCGCUGGGGGAGCCAAACCACGAUUUAGAUUACCCUUGGUAGGUUCUUGCCCGUAAACGAGGUCUAUUAGGAGUCUGUGGCCCCUGAGUUCGUGGGGUUCCAAAAGCUAACGCAUUAAAUAGACCGCCUGGGGAGUACGGCCGCAAGGUUAAAACUCAAAUGAAUUGACGGGGGCCCGCACAAGCGGUGGAGCAUGUGGUUUAAUUCGAUGCAACGCGAAGAACCUUACCUACCCUUGACAUCCAGAGAACUUACCAGAGAUGGUUUGGUGCCUUCGGGAACUCUGAGACAGGUGCUGCAUGGCUGUCGUCAGCUCGUGUUGUGAAAUGUUGGGUUAAGUCCCGCAACGAGCGCAACCCUUGUCCUAUGUUGCCAGCGCGUAAUGGCGGGAACUCAUGGGAGACUGCCGGUGAUAAACCGGAGGAAGGUGGGGACGACGUCAAGUCAUCAUGGCCCUUACGGGUAGGGCUACACACGUGCUACAAUGGUCAGUACAAAGGGUUGCCAACUCGCGAGAGUGAGCCAAUCCCAUAAAGCUGGUCGUAGUCCGGAUUGGAGUCUGCAACUCGACUCCAUGAAGUCGGAAUCGCUAGUAAUCGUGGAUCAGAAUGCCACGGUGAAUACGUUCCCGGGCCUUGUACACACCGCCCGUCACGCCAUGGGAGUGGGCUGCAAAAGAAGUGGGUAGUUAACCUCGGAGGAC